Aspergillus sclerotiicarbonarius CBS 121057 is the source of this 113-nucleotide non-coding RNA. NCBI's taxonomy places the organism in Eukaryota, Fungi, Ascomycota, Eurotiomycetes, Eurotiales, Aspergillaceae. The record is from the annotation of a GenBank genome assembly.
GGCAAGAUGGCCGAGCGGUCUAAGGCGCUAGGGUCAGGUUAUCUGAUCAUCUCAUAUUCUUCGGAAUAUUCCUAGUCUCGAAAGGGGCGUGGGUUCGAAUCCCACUCUUGUCA